RNAcentral lists this ribosomal RNA (301 nucleotides) under uncultured bacterium. RNAcentral describes it as "partial 16S ribosomal RNA". It matches the Rfam family "Bacterial small subunit ribosomal RNA", at positions 509 to 809 of the family's 1533-position model. The record is from RNAcentral.
CAGCCGCCGCGGUAAUACGGAGGGUGCAAGCGUUAAUCGGAAUUACUGGGCGUAAAGCGCACGCAGGCGGUCUGACAAGUCAGAUGUGAAAUCCCCGGGCUUAACCUGGGAACUGCAUUUGAAACUGUCAGGCUGGAGUCUUGUAGAGGGGGGUGGAAUUCCAGGUGUAGCGGUGAAAUGCGUAGAGAUCUGGAGGAAUACCGGUGGCGAAGGCGGCCCCCUGGACAAAGACUGACGCUCAGGUGCGAAAGCGUGGGGAGCAAACAGGAUUAGAUACCCCCGUAGUCCUGUCUCUUAUACA